RNAcentral lists this long non-coding RNA (2613 nucleotides) under Sus scrofa (pig). RNAcentral describes it as "lncRNA (ENSSSCG00025018801.1)". The record is from RNAcentral. Lineage: Eukaryota; Metazoa; Chordata; Mammalia; Artiodactyla; Suidae.
UGGCCUGGCACAUGGGUUAAGGAGUCAGUGCUGCCACAGCUGUGGCAUGGAUCUGAUCUCUGGCCCGGGAACUCCAUAUGCUGCGGGACGGCCAAAAAGGAAAAACAAAACAAACAAAUAAAUAUAUCUAUGUGUCGCCUUUCUUUUUCUUCCACUCUUCUCCAAGGAAGAAAUAGCUUUUCUUCUAUCAGAUUAACUGAACUAAAGCCAAACUCUGAGCAUCCUUACUUCAGUGGCUUCUCCAUCGAGUGUAGAUUGAAGUAAAUAAAGCUCUUUGCUUGGCGUGUGAGGUGCACCAUGAUGUGGCUCAAACCUCCUUUGCCAGGGUCAGUACUUGCAGUGACCCUUCCUUUGGUGGCCCUUCCUUCAGUGACCCUUCCUUUGGUGGCCCUUCCAUCAGUGGCCCUUCCAUUGGUGGCCCUUCCAUCAGUGGCCCUUCUUUUGCUGGCCCUUUCUUCUGUGGUCCAUGUGGAUGGGAUUCAUUCUCUAUGUCCUACUUUGCUUACUUCCUUGCCUUGUCUGAUGUUCCUUCUUCAAAACAAGCAAUGUUUUCCUCCUUCAUCUAUAAUGAUAUUUGAGCAUCCAGGCAAAAGCUGUAUCUCAGAUGAUGGAGCUUCUGAUUCCCCCAGCGUGCAGGGCUCAUGCCUGUCCAUGUUCCUAGAACACUUUACCAACUUUCCUGGCAUUCAUAAUCUCACCCCCUGGAAGGGGAGCUCCUGGGUUACAGUGUGUUGCUUCUCUCUCUCAUAAUGCCCAUCACAUACUCUUAUAUUUAGUAAUGCUCAAAAAUGUAUUUUGAACAAAUAAAUGGAUGGAAUCCCUUAUUUCCAAGCCUAAACACUAUGUUAAAUGUUAGUUACAAAGCUACACCUAUUUUAAAUGAAAAUUUUGUAGAGACACCUGCUAUUUUGGCUGCUCCAUGAAUGAACUCUGGAUUAGGAUGGGAAAGUGAUUCAUUUCUUGUUUUAGCUCAUUGGACAGGGUGUGUUUAGACAAUUGCCGAAAUGCUCAAGUUCAUUAGAUUUAAACAUAGAGCGAUAUCUUGUUUAAGUUGUGGUUAUUUUGUGGUUUCUUUGAUGUGCUUAAAUGCUAAGAUGUCAGGAUUUAUAAUGAGGUCAACAGAGGGGUGUUUGACCUUAUAUGACCAUGGUUUUGUGUGCACAAAACAUACAGUGCAUGGUGGAGAGAAGGGAAUAGAGAAUAAUGGAAAAAGGGAAAGAUAAAAAAUAGAGUUGCAGGUUUUUGGAAGGCUUGUGCUAAGGUGAGUAUUAUGAGAGAAGAUUCUUCCUUAGGCUCGUUGACAGAGAACACUAGCUCUGAUAUCAAACGCAUGGCUUUGUUCAUUUUCACAGAAGUUCAUCUAAGGCUGGGUGCUUUGCCCUCUUCUUGUGCACCUUCUUUGAAUCCAGAGACACCUCUAAUAGUCUGUUACCUGAAUCAGGAUAAAGCAGCACCCAAAUUGUUCUACAGCAAUUGCAAAAAUUCUUUUAUUACUGAACUCUAUCUCAACUUUAUAGAUAUUAGGUGACCUGUCACAAGAGUGAGGCUACAGUGCUUGACCUUUGUGUCCUCUGUCUAUUUUAAGGGCAGGAACUAACAGCUCAGCAGAAGUGAAGCUGGGUACCUAUUCUUUGUCAUGGCUGCUCUCACUUCUAUCACACAAGUCCUUCCAUAAUUUGAAAUUAAGUGGGAGAAAUCUCACAUUGUAGGCAAAAAAAAAGAUUAGCAAGACCUAUAGGAGGCAAGGGAAAAACAAUAUACCUUUUCAAUUUGUAAUUUCAACAGUGGCAGAGAAGAUUAUAUUUUAAAAUAUUUAAUUUUUAAGUAAGCUAGUAAUUUAAAUAUACUUAAUUCAUUGAACUCUCCUGUUUUAAUAAUUAUUUCUGAAUCUAUUAUUGUAGAAAAACUAGAAAUUUAGAUGUCAUGUUUCUCUGGACUCUUUCUCCUGAUGGGUUAAAUGCCUCCUAAAUUCUAAGGCUUCAUAUAGACCUUGGAAAAGCCCAACAAAUAAGACAGUCUCUACUUACAUGGAAUUUGCAAUCCAUUGACUAAGGUAAGCAAGUGAAGCAACUAUGGCAACAUAGUGUAAGCUUAGGGUCUGAAACUCCAUGAAGGCAGAGUUGUCUGUCUCAUUUUCCUUCCUAUUGUCCUUGACAUCUAGCACAACGACUUGUACACGCAGAAGCUGAAUAAAUAUGUUCGGUAUUUUGGGGGAUUUUACAGGACAAGAACUUGGAGAAGUGGUACUUGAUCCAGUUCAUAGAGGGCUUUCUACAGAUGAUGCUUUCUGAGUGAAAUCUAGAAGCAUAUGUAAAUGCAAACCUGCAUAGAAAAAAGAGGCCAUCUGGAGUUCUCGUCGUGGCUCAGUGGUUAACGAAUCCGACUAGGAACCAUGAGGUUGCGGGUUUGAUUCCUGGCCUUACUCAGUGGGUUAAGGAUUCGGCAUUGCCGUGAGCUGUGGUGUAGGUCACAGACGCAGCUCGCAUCCCGCGUUGCUGUGGCUGUGGCUGUGGCUGUGGCUGUGGCUGUGGUUGUCAGCUACAGCUCUGAUUAGACCCCUAGCCUGGGAACCUCCAUAUGCUGCAGGAGCAGCCCAAGAAAUGGCAAAAAGAC